This 386-nucleotide long non-coding RNA is filed under the name Panax ginseng (ginseng). Its description in RNAcentral is "long non-coding RNA (PGIN_LNC017770)". Lineage: Eukaryota; Viridiplantae; Streptophyta; Magnoliopsida; Apiales; Araliaceae. The record is from RNAcentral.
CAGCCGUGCAUUUGGAUCCUUCACUUUUUGACCAACCACAACUCUUUAAUCCUUGGAGAUGGCAGGUCGGUCGGUUCCCUUUUGUUUUUCGCUCAAUUUGGGCAUUCUUAGUGGAGUAGUAUAUACUACAACUAGAUCAUAGUGGAGCAUAUAUUAGAGUUAAAAAAAAGAGAGGGAAAUUAUAAAUUUUAGUAACAUAUAUGUUUUUGGUCGGUACUUACAGAAUACUAAUGGUGGAUCCACAUCCACAGCCUCAACAGCAGCAGGCAAUAUCUAUAUGCCAUUCGGGGGAGGACCACGACUCUGCGCAGGAUUGGAACUGGCAAAAUUGGAGAUGGCUAUUUUCAUCCACCAUUUAGUACUCAACUUCCAUUGGGAGUUAGCUG